CCUACGGGUGGCAGCAGUGAGGAAUAUUGGUCAAUGGGCGCGAGCCUGAACCAGCCAAGUAGCGUGAAGGAUGACUGCCCUACGGGUUGUAAACUUCUUUUAUAAGGGAAUAAAGUGAGGCACGUAUACCUUUUUGUAUGUACUUUAUGAAUAAGGAUCGGCUAACUCAGUGCCAGCAGCCGCGGUAAUACGGAGGAUCUGAGCGUUAUCCGGAUUUAUUGGGUUUAAAGGGAGCGUAGGUGGGUUGUUAAGUCAGUUGUGAAAGUUUGCGGCUCAACCGUAAAAUUGCAAUUGAUACUGGCAGCCUUGAGUACAGUAGAGGUAGGCGGAAUUCGUGGUGUAGCGGUGAAAUGCUUAGAUAUCACGAAGAACUCCGAUUGCGAAGGCAGCUUACUAAACUGCCACUGACACUGAUGCUCGAAAGUGUGGGUAUCAAACAGGAUUAGAUACCCGAGUAGUC
RNAcentral lists this ribosomal RNA (460 nucleotides) under uncultured bacterium. Its description in RNAcentral is "partial 16S ribosomal RNA". It matches the Rfam family "Bacterial small subunit ribosomal RNA", at positions 338 to 795 of the family's 1533-position model. The record is from RNAcentral.